This is a long non-coding RNA of Arabidopsis thaliana (thale cress), 376 nucleotides long. RefSeq annotates it as other RNA. The record is from RefSeq. Lineage: Eukaryota; Viridiplantae; Streptophyta; Magnoliopsida; Brassicales; Brassicaceae. The transcript is spliced from 2 exons.
AUUUGAAACUCUCAGCAAAGCUACAAGUCUCUUAUAAAAAUGUCAUUUUUUGGAUAAAGUAGUAAAUGUAGUUUUACAAAAGGGAUGGUGUCCUACUGGUAAUAUAUACAGUAUAAGGGGAGAAAACAAACUGUUAUCAAAGAUGGAUGCAGUCAAACUUCCAGCUUAUAUUUUCGGUUAACUGAAAGUUCUAAGUUGCCACCGAAACAAGAUAAUUACAAGACAGUCCUUCAAGUCCCCCAACCUUGGUACUCCACGCCCACGGCCUAGAAUCAUCACUGCAAAGUAGUUUGAGUUUCCCAUUGGAAACCGUUGCUUGGAAGUCUUUGCAAUCUAUGAGUACCAUGCAAACAUUCGGACACAAGUUAAGCUUGUC